Molecule: transfer RNA, 103 nt
Filed under: Promethearchaeota archaeon
Lineage: Archaea; Promethearchaeati; Promethearchaeota
Description: Candidatus Lokiarchaeota archaeon (permafrost metagenome) tRNA-Gln
Source: RNAcentral
AGCCCGGUGGUGUAGGUUGAUAUAUCUAUAAUAUAUCGAGCCCAAUGGCCAAGCAUCUGGGGCCUUGAACCCCGUGACCACGGUUCGAAUCCGUGCCGGGCUA